GUGUUGCAGUAGUCUUGUAUGAGGGGUUAUGGCAGGGGAAACAGUGUUGCAGUAGUCUAGUGUGAGGGAUUAUGGCAGGGGAAACGGUGUUGCAGUGGUCUAGUGAGAGGAGUUAUGGCAGGGAAAACGGUGUUGCAGUGGUCUAGUGAGAGGAGUUAUGGCAGGGGAAACGGUGUUGCAGUAGUCUAGUGUGAGGGAUUAUGGCAGGGGAAACAGUGUUGCAGUAGUCUAGUGUGAGGGGUUAUGGCAGGGGAAACGGUGUUGCAGUAGUCUAGUAUGAGGGGUUAUGGCAGGGGAAACAAUGUUGCUGUAGUCUAGUGUGAGGGGUUAUGGCAGGGGAAACGGUGUUGCAGUAGUCUAGUAUGAGGGGUUAAGGCAGGGGAAACGGUGUUGCAGUAGUCUAGUGUGAGGGGUUAUGGCAGGGGAAACAGUGUUGCAGUAGUCUAGUAUGAGGGAUUAUGGCAGGGGAAACGGUGUUGCAGUAGUCUAGUGUAAGGGGUUAUGGCAGGGGAAACGGUUUUGCAGUAGUCUAGUGUGAGGGAUUAUGGCAGGGGAAACGGUGUUGCAGUAGUCUAGUGUGAGGGAUUAUGGCAGGGGAAACGGUGUUGCAGUGGUCUAGUGUGAGGGAUUAUGGCAGGGGGAAAGGUUUUGCAGUAGUCUUGUAUGAGGGGUUAUGGCAGGGGAAACAGUGUUGCAGUAGUCUAGUGUGAGGGGUUAUGGCAGGGGAAACGGUGUUGCAGUAGUCUAGUGUGAGGGAUUAUGGCAGGGGAAACGGUUUUGCAGUAGUCUAGUAUGAGGGGUUAUGGCAGGGGAAACGGUGUUGCAGUAGUCUAGUAUGAGGGGAUAUGGCAAAAGAAACGGUGUUGCAGUAGUCUAGUGUGAGGGGUUAUGGCAGGGGAAACGGUGUUGCAGUAGUCUAGUGUGAGGG
Molecule: long non-coding RNA, 928 nt
Organism: Oncorhynchus tshawytscha (Chinook salmon)
Lineage: Eukaryota; Metazoa; Chordata; Actinopteri; Salmoniformes; Salmonidae
Source: Ensembl